UCCAGUGUCUUUAGUCUUUUUAUGUAAUGACAUGUCUAUUCAGUGUCAAGAAUCCAUUUGUUGCAUUCACUUGAAAUCCUGAAAAGGUCAUCUGAAGAGAGGCAAUAGUUUCUAGUAGAGGAGGAGGUUAGGUACGGAGCAGUUAUCACACAUAGAAUAUCCGACUCCGGAAUCCAACAUUGGUCAUCCCUUGAUGGCCAAUGGAAGGUUUUAGCAGGUCCAGAUGGAUGCAUAAAUUUGAUGUGGUAGUCACCGAAUUCCUCAGAAAUUUCUUCAACUAGUCCGAUCCACGGAUGUUCAUCAUACAUACAGCAGACGAAAUUCUGCUGUUUUAUUUCCAAGGGAAUUUGCAUGACCCUGGGUGUACAUGUUUCAUUUCAUUAUCAUUCUUU
This is a long non-coding RNA of Sphaeramia orbicularis (orbiculate cardinalfish), 392 nucleotides long. RefSeq lists it as uncharacterized. The record is from RefSeq and is a predicted model, not a curated record. NCBI's taxonomy places the organism in Eukaryota, Metazoa, Chordata, Actinopteri, Kurtiformes, Apogonidae. The transcript is spliced from 3 exons.